Molecule: long non-coding RNA, 8846 nt
Organism: Equus caballus (horse)
Lineage: Eukaryota; Metazoa; Chordata; Mammalia; Perissodactyla; Equidae
Source: Ensembl
CCUCGUCCCAGCGGGCCGCAUCCCCGCACUCCGGCCUCUGCACUGUGCGGACAACCAGAGGCCGCAGGACCCGGGCGAGGUGAGCCCGGGUCUGCACUCCAGCUGGACGCUGGGAAGAAAUGAUUUGAACCAAUGCUGGUUCCUGCUAGGAAAGAACCGAUGCAUGAAAACGGGCCCAAGGAAUACGUGGCAGUGAUCACACGCCAGACCCGCAACUGAGGAUUUAAAGGGACUCGCUUACUAUUCCCGACGGCCCAAUGAGGUAGGGUCUAUCCCCACUCCCAUUUGAUAGAUGGGGAAACUGAGGCACAGAAUGGUUAACCAACUUGCCCAAAACAAUGGAGAGGCAGGAUUCGAACUCAGGCAGUGCUGGCCCCAGCGGGCACAGUCUUAAACACCACACCAAACAGGAUGCUCUAUAGACCGCUUCAUUCACUGACGGAAAGGAGAAAAGCAGAGGCUUCAAAAGAUGGACUGGACCAUGCAGGUCCACACUGCUGGCGAGGAGUACAGUCGGGACUGAAAUCCAGGUCUUUCUGAUUCUGAAGCUCAGGGUCGUUUGAACAGGACAUGCUGCUUCUCUUAAGAAGCGUUUCGACUAUUAACACCUGUUGUUACUCUUCUGUCCCCGUGGCGGGUAGAGUAACAUGUUCCCAGAGUACUUAUGUCCUUCUGGGUCCUGACAAUUAGCAUCCAACUGGAAGUUCAUCAAAAGACUAAGCGAAGCCCGCUUUGGACGUGGCAGUCUACACAAUCAACACAACAUCGGGGAGGGUCCCAGUGGGUCCCCCUCCGAGGGUGGCGUGGCACAUCUCAGGCCGCUCCCCGCCAGGUUGAAGAGGACAGGUCCCACAGGCUGCCUUCUCCAUGUGGUGCUCCAUCCUCUGCUGUUGAAACGUGAACCCACCUGCUGAGACUCGUCUCCUGGGGCUUUUCUGUCCUUCACAUCUUUUCGUGACUGUGGGUCUUAACUGGACCCGUGAGAUGCUACAUUCUAUUGGUCAUCUCCGUCUGUCCCGCCAGCAGGAGCCCUGGGUGUCCCCCACCUCGCACACACUAGGAGGAGUGCUCACCCGCCUUCGGAUGGUCAAGUGCCGUCACCUGGCCUCUGGGGUUUGGGCUCCUAUCAUCCCCACUGCUAUGGGAGAGCCAUGUGCACAUGCGUGUCUGUGUGAGCGUGCAUGCAUGUGCAUGUGCGUGUGCUGAUAAACUGGAGGAAAGUCCCGUGCAUGUCUGUGUGUGCGACAAUCAUGAGAAUCCUUCCACUACUGGGGGGGCCUGUGUUGUGUGUCACGGUCCCCGUGGGAUGAAGGGGAGCUGUCUCUCUGUGCCUGUGUCUCUUUAAGUGGCAGUACACAGCAGGUGCUCCAUAAAUGCUUAUGGAAUGAAGAAGUGAAUAUAUGGAAACUGGGCUGGAGCAGGUGUCUGAGGACCUGGUCCCGCAUCAUGCUUUCUCCAGAUGUCUGUCUGUCUCUCUGUCCGUGCCCCCUAGCCUGUGGUCCCCUGCUCAUCCCAGCGCAGGGCCGGGCUCUGAGUGGGGCUCACGGAAUCACUGGUGCACGAGGCAAUGAGCGAACAGAGACUCUAGUCUGGGGCGUGGAGGGGAGAGAUCCCCCCAGAGGAAACCCCCCAGGGCCUGCCCUCUGACCCAGGUCCAAGGUGGUGUCUGUGCUGAGCUCUGGGUGUGGGGGCAGGGCAUGGGCUUUGGGGCCAGGCCCAAUCCCGACCUCGGGGAAGUGGCCUCCCCUCACUGGGCCCCGGGGAGCCUCUCUGUAAAAUGGGAAGCCCGGUCCCACUGACUGCUCCAGUCUGCAUGGCCCAUGGUAGGUACUCAGUGGAUGUUUGUUGAAUGACUAAAUGACUGAAUGUAGAUCUAUACUAGCUUUUCCUAACAUCGGCACUGCCUGCAGAGGAGAGCCAACACUGAGCUUCCUCAUGGUGCUGGUGCCCUCUCCCCUGCUGGACUUGAGGUGUCCACCUGGCCCUGGGGGGUUUUCUGGCCUUACUUAGUAUACCCCCUCAAGCCCACCCACCUCUCUGAGUCCUUUCAUCCCUCUUUCACUGUCCGCCACGGGAACUCCAGCAUCCCAGCCUCCCCAGCACGGGCAUUCCCACGCUUGCAGGAGUCAGGCUGGUGGUGAGUUUGCACCACCUCCUGGUGCCCUUGCCCGGGUGUGAAGUCCUGUAGCCCACAAGAGUGACCCCGAAUGCACAGACUCUCCUUUAUGCAGCCUUACCUGCUGCUCCCCUUGCUCAAACGUGCUCAGCAUCCCAUCCCAUGUGUCUCAGCUCCUGCGCGUCGGUGCUGGCUGGGUCCUGCAGCGCCAUCGGGGUCUAAUUCCUUUCUUCCCUUAUCAGCCCCAGCACGUCCCCAGCUGGCCUAUGACGUAAUUUCACCCUAGCCACAGGCCUAGUGGCAAGGAGGGGUGGAGGAGCAGGUCCUGACGGGGCCCACGUGACCACCUCCUCAUCCUCAAGCAGGGGGGCUGCCAUUUCUCCCUAGGAAGGAGCAGAACCUUCUGCAGCCUCGGAGAGUCCAGAGGAAUCUGGAGAUCCAAGGUUUUCACGGGCAUCGGCUUGGAUGUCCCCAGCCCAUGUGACAAGGUCUCAUUCUUUCCCAAGCGGAGUGCGUCUUGGCAAAGCAGACCUGCCUCGGUUGGGAGUUUAACCAUCCUUGGAGCUCGUCUGGUCUGACUGUUAAGUCCUGGGUCCCGUCCUCAGUUUCCCCUCCCUCCCACUACAGCUGGGCCCUCCUUAUAUACUACUGGCUUUCACACUUAGUUUUCAAUGAGCAAUUAAUUUCUCUCUGAUUUUUAUUAUCUUUUUCCAAAGCAUCCUUUGAGCUUAGCAAUAGCCACCCAAUUCCAUUGUCCAUUAUUUCUCCCAUUUUCUCAAAUGCUUGAUGGGGCACACCAGCCAGUGCAUUUCUUUCCCCUGGUUUACCCUCCCAAUUCACCUGUUGGAGCUUUGAAUGCUGGGCCCCCUUCUGCACACCAGCGGCUAUGUGUGUUCCACCUAUUUCCACCUAUGACCACGGCCAGCCAGGCAAGGCGUGGUCCAGCUGCCACCUCCCAUCUUAGUGCCUGCUUCCUCCAGCCACACCCGGGACCAACAGGUGCACAUUGGGUUCUCCGGGAAACAGACUCUGAGAUAGAAUUUAAUGAACAGAUGUUUAUUAAGGAGCGCCCUUGCCACUGUGGAAGGAUGGAGAAGGAAUCAGGAUUAGGCAGAGGAAAAUGUGUAGUUCUGAUGAAGACCCGAAGACAGCCUGGGCCAACCCACUGUGACCUCUGGAGCCAGGCUGAAGACAAGAUGGCCAGGGCUUCGUACCCCUGUGUCAACCAGUCAUUGGAUGUGGGCACCCUGGGUGGGGCAUGACAUCAGGUGAGGCAGCUAUCUGUGGCUGAGGCACCCCUGAAGGGGCUGGCGGCUGAGGACUGCGCCCCUAGCAGCUGAGUCAAGGAGUCCUUCAAUGCAGGAGGAUCUAGACAGCAUGUGACAGUAUCCACUACAGACUCCCUGGCCCAGGGCAUCCAUGACCACGACUCUGGACCAUGGUCUGCAGCAUCGCUGCCGCCCAGAGAUCUGCGGGUGGAUGCAGAGCCCUAUCCUCACCCCCGCAUCCACUGACCAAGGCUGUGGGCAAAGGUGACUCUGAGUUGAGCGGGAAGCUCACUGGCGCCGCAUUUCACGUCCUCAUCCCCACAGUGUCUCACGGAUCUGAUCUGCUGUCUGGAAAAAUCUGCCAAAUAUACUGACAUUGAGAAGCGGGUGGAGCAGGUGUCAGAGGCAGCCCUGGGCCGCGCGGAGGGCCAGGUCCCCUCCUGCGAUUUUGACAGUAAGCCCUGCUCCCCAACCUUGGAGGCUGGCAUUACCCUCAACAUCACUUGGUCAAGCUCGUUUCCUGGCACAACAAGGCAUUUGGCCGCAGCAACCACAUGGCAGACCUCAUGGUCUACGCAGACUGCCAGGAGUCAGAGCCUUGACCUCUAAUGCCAGCAACAGCCUUUCACCUUUGUGGAGUCCCUGCCACGCCACCAUCCCCAACACACUGAGACUCUCCCAUCCUCUCCCCAGGGCUUCUCAGCUGGGGGUGGUUUUGCCCCCUAAGGACAUCUGGCAACGUCUGGAGCCAUUUUGGGUCGUCAGGACUGGGGUGGGGGGAUGCGCUGGCAUCCAGCGGGUCGAGGCCGGGGAUGCUGCUCAACAAGGCACAGGACAGCCCCUCCUCCCCAACUAAACAUUACCUGGCCCCAAAUGUGCUGAGGUUGACAAACUGUCUCCCGCACAGUUCCCACCCCAGGCUCCCGAGGACGGGGAGGGCCGUGGGCUCCUGUCACACUCCACCAGUACCAUCAUAAAGUCUCCGCCAGGCAAUCGGGGGCAGCAUGGGGGAGGAAGGAUGUGGGUAUUAGUCUGGGAGUCACAGCAGAAAAGAUAUUCUCACGUCGGUUCAUGCCAGCAGAGUUUAUUAAAGAGACUGUCUACAAUCAUGGACAGAGGUUAGGAAAACCAACAAGGACAGUGUAGACCGCAGAGGCUGGUGGCUCCCAGCUCUGGCCAGAUGCAGGAGGCGUCGUGUGCCAGGACGGCUACCCGGAGGGCUGGCUGACCGCAGCUGACCCAAGGUAACGUGGAUGGAGGGAGGCUGGAAAUAUUACCCCAACUUCUUUCUCCCCUGCCCUCUGGGCUCCUGCAGCGGCUCCCUUUAUCUGAGCCCAGCCAAAGUCAGAUACUAAGGGCGCCCGCUGGUCCAAUCCACGUGGGACCACAUGGACCAGACUCCUGGGGGGAAAAGCAGAAAUAGAAUACACAAGUAACACAAAUUCAUCGCGGACAAGCUAAAGAAACCCGUCAUGAUCACCCAGAGAAUCCACCUCAUUAACCCCAGGCAACCCUGUUACCAAUAACUUCGCCUUCUAGACUUUCUUCAAGGCAGAGACGCAUCUUCCAAAAGGGAACACGCAUGGUCUUCCAAAAGGGACCUAUUCCGCUUAAUAUACUGUGAAUGUCUUUCCACGUCAACGUUCUUCCAGGCCCAAGACUAGUUAAAGUGUCUUAAAAUAACCUACUAAAAAUGCUCUCAAGAUGGUACAUUCGACUUCUUUUUUUUUUUCUUCUGCUUUUAUCUCCCCAAAUCCCCCCUGUACAUAGUUGUAUAUCUUAGUUGCAGGUCCUUCUAGUUGCGGCAUGUGGGACGCUGCCCCAGCGUGGCCUGAUGAGCGGUGCCAUAUCCGCACCCAGGAUCCGAACCAGUGAAACCCUGGGCCGCUGCAGCGGAGCGCGCAAACUUAAACACUCGGCCACGGGGCCAGCCCCAUUUGACUUCUUGUCCAGGAAAAAAUGUCAAAUGUCUUACACACAUGUACAGGAAUACACGCCCAGAAUUACAUGUGGGCUACAAGAAAUACCAUAUAGUACAAACGCCUUCAAACCCUUUGCUCUCCCCGAGAUGUGAUCAAUAUUCUGAAUUUUCUUUAAUCAGUCAUUAUUCUGAAUUUUCCAUUAAUCAUUCUCUUUUCUUUCAGGUUUAUCAUAUAUAUAGGUAUCCUGUGAUAAAAUACUACUUAGUUUGUCUAUUUUAAACUUCGAAUAUAAAUGGAAUCAUAGUAUAUGUAUUAUUCUCUGAUUUGCUCUUCUCUCACUCAGUGUAACAGUUUGACGUUGGUGCACGUCCUCGUGGUUUAUAAGUUGGCACGCUGUGCGGUACUCAGUAGGAAAAUGCUGCAUUUAUCCAUUCUACCGCGAGGGGCACAUUUCUGUGUGUUAUUACCAAGAACGCUAUGAUGAACAUCGGUGUACACACCCCCCGUCAUACUUGUGUAAAAGUCUCUCUGAGAAGACACACACAACUAGGAGUGGAAACCACAGGUUGUAGCAUAUGCAUGAUGUUCACACUUUCUAGAAAAUACCAAAUGGUUUUCAAAAGGGCGGUGGCAAUGUGCACAGCUCCCAGCAAAGAGAGUACAAGCCACUCCACAUUUUCACCAGCACUUGCAAACGAUCAGAGUUUUCAUUUAAAAUUUCUGUCUUUCUGCAAUGGAAAUUAGCAAUUUGCAGUUCCCUGCUUACUAAUAACGUUGUGCAUUUUUUCAUGUUUCUGGGCCCCUGACAUUUCCUUUUCUGUGAAUCGUCUUUUGCCUUCAGCCCACUUUUCCAUUGGCUUAGCUGACUUUUUAUUGAUGUGGGAGUUCCUCAUAUGUCAUCCACACUAGUCCUUCGGUCCUACAUAUUGCAGAUAUCUUCCCCUUGCUCCACGGCGUCUGAACUCUGUGUGUCUUUAAACGAACAAGAGUUAAAUACUCAUAAUCGAUCAAGACUUCUUUCUCGUUUUCAAUUUUUCUCUGUCCCAGUUUGGAAGUUAUUCACGAUUUCUAUCCUUUUAGUGAUUGCCCUGGCAUUUUCCACUUGCCAUUGUUUCUUAAAGCCUAAAAUGAUUCUAGAUGUUACCCAGUUGACAUUUUUUAAAAAGACUUGUCAGGCAGCCUGAACCAAGACAAUAAGAAGACGCCUUGCUGUUUUCGCGGUUUCUAUAACUCACAUUCGUUACCGGUGCUCCCGGCAGUGUUGAUCUCUGGCGAAGAGGCUAAGAGCUUAAACCUUCAAUUCUCAAGUUUGAUGAGGAGCCUUGAGACUCCUUCCCAGCGAACUGCUCGGAGCAACACUAAGAGGCCAGUGAGGGCUGCACGCCAGGCCCUUGCAUCUGUGACUCCAUCUUCCGGGCCCGGCCGAUAGCAAGCUCACCUGAUGAGUAUGGAAAGGGGACCCCACAGAAACAGCAACGGAAAGUUCAAGAGCUGGAUGGCUCAGGACUGAAGCGGUAAGGCCAGCUGAUCCUCUGCUAGCCGGAGGGGACACAGAACCUGCUUCUCCUGGAAGAGGCACGACCGUCCAAAAGCAGCGCGAUCAGAACUUCCUUCUGCGCCAGAGACCCGAGCACGAAGCUGACUGUCGAACCACGAGCACAUCCCUGCGACAGGUGGUUCAAGGUUCAAGGUAGGGCGGGUGCAGAUCUGCGCUUUGAAGCACAUUUCAGCUACGUAAACUGAGAAGCAGCAUUUUGUUGCUCAGGACCUGCACCCGCACCCACGGAAGGGCACGUUUCAGAAUCAUCAGCCGGGGCGGCACCUCGGGUCCUUCCCCCUCCAGGAGGCUCCCAGCCCGGCGUUGCGCUCCUGAGAAUGGGGAGCAGGUCCUGCCAGUGGGUGGGCUUGCAGACGAGACGGGACUCCAGAACCCGGAGCUGUGAGUUGACAAUAUACUGCUGUGGAUCCACAAACAGUUCCAAAUAUUAAUAAGAAUAAAAGGGGGUCUGCAUCGAGGGAAUACUGUCACACAGCAUUCCGAGCACUGUGUAUGUUCCAACUGAUUAAACCCUCAGAAAAUCUAUGAUAGAUUUGGGAUGUGUGUGUCCAUUAUCCCACUGCAGAGAUGAGGCGACACAGGCACUGAGAGGUUGAGGAGCCCACCCACGGCCACCCCGGGAGGUAGCCGGGGAGCCCAGCUCAGCUCCCAGACAAGCUGACUUCACCACCCUCUACCACUCAGCACCUUCUAGCCAAGAAAGACGUGUUUUCUGACCAUCAAAUCGACACUGUGUCUAUACACCAAAGGGUAAGUGAAGAACUGGGCAUUUUACUCAGAAACAAGGUUAAAGAAUAAAAGUAAAAAUGUAAAAACCAGUUAUUUGGGGCGUCCAUGUUAGGCAAAAUGUCUCCUUGCCACUAUUAUUUGCCUCAGUCUCCCAUUUUGCCUGUUACAUAUCCGAUAAUAGGAGCCACUAAAUAAAUGCCCCCUGGUGGACUUUAUUGAUUAAGUGCACUUCCGAAGCUGCGUCUGUGAGCGCAAAGUCAAGGUUCAGGGGUUUAUUUGGUUAAUCUGAUCCCUGGACACAGCCAGCCUGAAUAAUUCGGACUGAAAACCUUUUUUUCGAUCUCCAGCAUCCAGACUGGUAAACAGGGGCCGGGAAGAGAAAGCUGUGGAGCUGUUAGAUUCCCCUCCUUGAAUUCAACACGUGGCUCCUGCCCCGGGAAAGCAGAAGGGGCUCCCGGACCAGGGAAGGCACGGUUUACAAUGGGAGAGUAACACCGUCACCCAUAAGGUGAUGUGGGCACAACCAUGGGACAGGCAGUGGGAGCAUUUCCUUUCUGCCCUCCACGCACAGCCUGAGUCCCUCACACUUAGCCUCAGUCAGAAACUUGGAGGAUGUUUUCGGCUGGAAUGGUCCUUCAAGACCAUGGAAUUCCUCUCUCAACUUAGGGAUGACUAAACUGAGGACCAAAGAGGAUGCCCAAAGUGACCGUGCUGGGAAUAGGGUCUCCAGCACUUUUCCCCUCCUUCCGGGUGCCCAGGAGUGACAUGUCUGCGGCCGUCAGGAGCAGCUCUCGGGAACGGAACGCAGCAGAGCGACAGCUCCAUUACGGAGCUGCCGUGGGGCGGACCACCCGCUCCAUAGCUGGGUCUCCUGUCAACGAUUUGGUUAAACGGUUUUCAAAUGGGCAAACACAAAUACGUUGCAGGGAAACUGGUUGGCUAUACAGAUCCAUUGCCACUUCCUUCCUUCCUGAACGAGCAAAAGACAGGUGGUACUUCUGGCUCAAGGACAGGAAACGCCCACCACGCCCUCCACCUGUGGACCCACAGACAGACAGUUCUGCUCAGGCGGUUGUGGCGCUGGGACCACCACCUCCUUGGGUCUCUGGCUUAAAGGGACACGUACCAUGGGGUCUCUCAGCACGUCUGUGUGGGAGCAGGUAAAGAGAGUGAGGGGUCUUAACUUCUGGGAAGAACUCCAAGGUCGCCCCAGGAGUACGCUGGGGAGCGUGGCGUAGCUCCUAGACAAACUG